AUGGACUCCUCGUACACUGCGGUUCCUGCGCGCCGUCCACGCCCGUCUGUUGACUGCCCGUUACGUCUUGUUAGCC
This 76-nucleotide small RNA is filed under the name Xanthomonas arboricola. RNAcentral describes it as "sRNA sX9". It matches the Rfam family "Xanthomonas sRNA sX9". The record is from RNAcentral. RNAcentral also lists the same sequence under 2 other names. Lineage: Bacteria; Pseudomonadati; Pseudomonadota; Gammaproteobacteria; Lysobacterales; Lysobacteraceae.